CUCUCGGCAACGGAUAUCUCGGCUCUCGCAUCGAUGAAGAACGUAGCGAAAUGCGAUACUUGGUGUGAAUUGCAGAAUCCCGUGAACCAUCGAGUCUUUGAACGCAAGUUGCGCCCGACGCCUUCGGGCUGAGGGCACGCCUGCCUGGGCGUC
This 153-nucleotide ribosomal RNA is filed under the name Plantago sparsiflora. Its description in RNAcentral is "5.8S ribosomal RNA". It matches the Rfam family "5.8S ribosomal RNA". From Rfam's summary of the family: 5.8S ribosomal RNA (5.8S rRNA) is a component of the large subunit of the eukaryotic ribosome. It is transcribed by RNA polymerase I as part of the 45S precursor that also contains 18S and 28S rRNA. Functionally, it is thought that 5.8S rRNA may be involved in ribosome translocation. The record is from RNAcentral. Lineage: Eukaryota; Viridiplantae; Streptophyta; Magnoliopsida; Lamiales; Plantaginaceae.